CUUCCGUACCGGUACCUGCGGAAGGAUCAUUACCUAGAGUUGUAGGCUUUGCCUGCUAUCUCUUACCCAUGUCUUUUGAGUACCUUACGUUUCCUCGGUGGGUUCGCCCACCGAUUGGACAAAUUUAAACCCUUUGCAGUUGAAAUCAGCGUCUGAAAAAACUUAAUAGUUACAACUUUCAACAACGGAUCUCUUGGUUCUGGCAUCGAUGAAGAACGCAGCGAAAUGCGAUAAGUAGUGUGAAUUGCAGAAUUCAGUGAAUCAUCGAAUCUUUGAACGCACAUUGCGCCCCUUGGUAUUCCAUGGGGCAUGCCUGUUCGAGCGUCAUUUGUACCUUCAAGCUCUGCUUGGUGUUGGGUGUUUGUCUCCUGUAGACUCGCCUCAAAACAAUUGGCAGCCGGCGUAUUGAUUUCGGAGCGCAGUACAUCUCGCGCUUUGCACUCAUAACGACGACAUCCAAAAGUACAUUUUUACACUCUUGACCUCGGAUCAGGUAGGGAUACCCGCUGAACUUAAGCAUAUCAAUAAGCCGGGAGGAAA
Molecule: ribosomal RNA, 540 nt
Filed under: Phoma sp. FN-40
Lineage: Eukaryota; Fungi; Ascomycota; Dothideomycetes; Pleosporales; Didymellaceae
Description: eukaryotic LSU rRNA
Rfam family: 5.8S ribosomal RNA (bases 174-327)
Source: RNAcentral